AGAGUUUGAUCCUGGCUCAGGACGAACGCUGGCGGUAGGCUUAACACAUGCAAGUCGUACGAGAAAGCGCCUUCGGGCGUGAGUAAAGUGGCGAACGGGUGAGUAACGCGUAGACAACCUGCCUUCAAGUGAGGAAUAACUACGGGAAACCGUAGCUAAUACCACAUGCUGUCGUGCCCCCGCAUGGGGGUGCGAUCAAAGCGUAAGCGCUUGAGGAUGGGUCUGCGUCGGAUUAGCUAGUUGGUGAGGUAACGGCUCACCAAGGCAACGAUCCGUAGCGGGUCUGAGAGGAUGAUCCGCCACACUGGCACUGAGACACGGGCCAGACUCCUACGGGAGGCAGCAGUGGGGAAUCUUGCGCAAUGGGCGAAAGCCUGACGCAGCCAUACCGCGUGGAGGAAGACACCCCUACGGGGCGUAAACUCCUUUUCUGUCGGAAGAAUGCCUUGGUCGCCAAGGACUGACGGUACGACAGGAAUAAGCACCGGCUAACUCCGUGCCAGCAGCCGCGGUAAUACGGAGGGUGCAAGCGUUGUCCGAAAUUACUGGGUGUAAAGGGUGUGUAGGCGGGGCAGCAAGUCAGAGGUGAAAGCCCACGGCUCAACCGUGGAAGUGCCUUUGAAACUGCUGUUCUUGAGUCCCGGAGAGGUCGUUGGAAUUCGUGGUGUAGCGGUGAAAUGCGUAGAUAUCACGAGGAACACCAGU
This 705-nucleotide ribosomal RNA is filed under the name uncultured bacterium. RNAcentral's name for it is "bacterial SSU rRNA". It matches the Rfam family "Bacterial small subunit ribosomal RNA", at positions 8 to 713 of the family's 1533-position model. The record is from RNAcentral.